GUAGGGAAUAUUGGGCAAUGGAAGGAAUUCUGACCCAGCCAUGCCGCGUGCAGGAAUACAGUCCUAUGGACUUUAAACUGCUUUUAUUAUAGAGUAACCUGGGGGACGUGUCCCCCACUGCAAGUAUAUAAUGAAUAAGCAUCGGCUAACUCCGUGCCAGCAGCCGCGGUAAUACGGGGGAUGCAAGCGUUAUCCGGAUUUAUUGGGUUUAAAGGGUGCGCAGGCUGAUCGGUAAGUCAUGGGUGAAAAGUCACUGCUUAACAAUGAUCGUGCCUAUGAUACUGCCGGACUAGAGUUUAAGAGGUGUAACUGGAAUGUGAUGUGUAGCGGUGAAAUGCUUAGAUAUGUCACAGAACGCCAAUCGUGAAGACAGGUUACAAACUUAAUACUGACGCUCAUGCACGAAAGCGUGGGGAUCAAACAGGAUUAGAAACCCUGGUAGUCC
Molecule: ribosomal RNA, 445 nt
Filed under: uncultured bacterium
Lineage: Bacteria
Description: partial 16S ribosomal RNA
Rfam family: Bacterial small subunit ribosomal RNA
Source: RNAcentral